Molecule: ribosomal RNA, 206 nt
Filed under: uncultured bacterium
Lineage: Bacteria
Description: partial 16S ribosomal RNA
Rfam family: Bacterial small subunit ribosomal RNA
Source: RNAcentral
UUCGUAGGUGGCCAACUAAGUCAGACGUGAAAUCCCUCAGCUUAACUGGGGAACUGCGUCUGAGACUGGAUGGCUUGAGUGCAGGAGAGGAACGCGGAAUUCCAGGUGUAGCGGUGAAAUGCGUAGAUAUCUGGAGGAACACCGGUGGCGAAGGCGGCGUUCUGGACUGCUACUGACACUGAGGAACGAAAGCCAGGGAGCAAACG